Molecule: non-coding RNA, 18 nt
Filed under: Arabidopsis thaliana (thale cress)
Lineage: Eukaryota; Viridiplantae; Streptophyta; Magnoliopsida; Brassicales; Brassicaceae
Source: RNAcentral
UUUGGACUGAAGGGAGCU